UGGAGAGUUUGAUCCUGGCUCAGGACGAACGCUGGCGGCGUGCCUAAUACAUGCAAGUCGAGCGGACAGAUGGGAGCUUGCUCCCUGAUGUCAGCGGCGGACGGGUGAGUAACACGUGGGUAACCUGCCUGUAAGACUGGGAUAACUCCGGGAAACCGGGGCUAAUACCGGAUGCUURAUUGAACCGCAUGGUUCAAUUAUAAAAGGUGGCUUYRGCUACCACUUACAGAUGGACCCGCGGCGCAUUAGCUAGUUGGUGAGGUAACGGCUCACCAAGGCRAGAUGCGUAGCCGACCUGAGAGGGUGAUCGGCCACACUGGGACUGAGACACGGCCCAGACUCCUACGGGAGGCAGCAGUAGGGAAUCUUCCGCAAUGGACGAAAGUCUGACGGAGCAACGCCGCGUGAGUGAUGAAGGUUUUCGGAUCGUAAAACUCUGUUGUUAGGGAAGAACAAGUACCGUUCGAAUAGGGCGGUACCUUGACGGUACCUAACCAGAAAGCCACGGCUAACUACGUGCCAGCAGCCGCGGUA
Molecule: ribosomal RNA, 534 nt
Filed under: Bacillus mojavensis
Lineage: Bacteria; Bacillati; Bacillota; Bacilli; Caryophanales; Bacillaceae
Description: bacterial SSU rRNA
Rfam family: Bacterial small subunit ribosomal RNA
Source: RNAcentral